GGGGGUGUAGCUCAGUGGUAGAGCGCUUGCCUUACAUGUGUGAGGCAUUAAAUUCAAUCCUCAGCACCA
RNAcentral lists this transfer RNA (69 nucleotides) under Marmota monax (woodchuck). Its description in RNAcentral is "tRNA.Val". The record is from RNAcentral. Lineage: Eukaryota; Metazoa; Chordata; Mammalia; Rodentia; Sciuridae.